UACGGGGGGGGCAAGCGUUGUUCGGAAUUACUGGGCGUAAAGGGCUCGUAGGCGGCCAACUAAGUCGGAUGUGAAAUCCCCAGGCUCAACUUGGGAACUGCAUCCGAUACUGGAUGGCUUGAAUUCGGGAGAGGGAUGCAGAAUUCCAGGUGUAGCGGUGAAAUGCGUAGAUAUCUGGAGGAAUACCGGUGGCGAAGGCGGCGACCUGGUCCUUGACUGACGCUGAGGCGCGAAAGCGUGGGGAGCAAACAGG
RNAcentral lists this ribosomal RNA (253 nucleotides) under uncultured bacterium. Its description in RNAcentral is "partial 16S ribosomal RNA". It matches the Rfam family "Bacterial small subunit ribosomal RNA", at positions 524 to 776 of the family's 1533-position model. The record is from RNAcentral.